Transfer RNA from Phycomyces blakesleeanus NRRL 1555(-), 73 nucleotides. It matches the Rfam family "tRNA". Rfam says of the family: Transfer RNA (tRNA) molecules are approximately 80 nucleotides in length. The record is from Rfam. Lineage: Eukaryota; Fungi; Mucoromycota; Mucoromycetes; Mucorales; Phycomycetaceae.
GCCCGGCUAGCUCAAUUGGUAGAGCGUGGGACUUUUAAUCCCAAGGUUGGGGGUUCGAGCCCCCCGUUGGGCG